Molecule: long non-coding RNA, 573 nt
Organism: Stegodyphus dumicola
Lineage: Eukaryota; Metazoa; Arthropoda; Arachnida; Araneae; Eresidae
Source: RefSeq, a predicted model, not a curated record
UUCUGCGUAUUCUUAGUGCACUGUCCUAUUACUGCUGGAUCACUUACGGCUGGUCGCCACUCACUGUGACCGCAACAAGAUGACGCCUCAGGGACUGGCGACAGCCUUUGGUCCGGUACUGAUGUGCCACGCAGAGACUCCCACUGCGACUGUUGACAUACGAAAACCCAUAGACAUCAUGAGUUUUUUGGUCAAAAUGUGGCCCAACAAGAGAAGCCCACGACUCUGGUACGACGCCUCCUGUGGCGAAGUCUACAGAAUGUAAUCACUCUCUGGCCCUCUGGUGAGAUGUUCCUCAGCUAAUGGAACCCUGCCUCAACCACAGGUUGGGCGUUUCGUCUUGGUCGAGUAGCAGCAGCAGUUGGGACAGCAGCGUCUUAUCCGAGCUGUUGGAGUCGUUGGACGGAGCCUGGUUAGGACACCGACUGCUUCCAGAGUCCUCUUGUUGACCAUGUGCCAUACUAAACCUAGUGAAUGUUGAUGCGCAUGGAAAGAAGUUCUUUGUUAAAUCCUUUCCCUCUAGUUGGACGUGUCAUUGUUUGAUAUUAAAUAAAAAAAAGUAUCUGCCCUGUU